ACCAAACCCACUUCUGGAACACCCCUCACCUCCUACCCCACAUCCCAGUCCUUAACACGAUGGCCACACUGACUGCCACCGGCACUGAGCUCUCGACACCGCACAGCGAGGUAGGACCUGCCCCAGCAAAGCCGUGUUCUCCAGGCUCAGUCCCCCACGCUCGGCUACAGAGAUCCGUGUUAGAGACAGCCAGAGCGUCUGCACUGAGUCGUGGCCUCAGGCAAAAUCACUAAAUGAGCCCCAGUAUUGAUAACUGAGUCCUAAAAAGAUCUAGAUUUGAAGCAGGGAGAAGAAGCCAUCUGAGCCCAGAAAGCUAGAGACAUCUCAGCAGCAGCCAGAGCAGACUCGAUGCCACCCGAGGGGUGCCAUCACCUCGCUCACAGCCCGUUUUCUGUAGGUUAAGGAGGAGCCGGGAGGCCACAGCAA
This is a long non-coding RNA of Empidonax traillii (willow flycatcher), 426 nucleotides long. RefSeq lists it as uncharacterized. The transcript has 2 exons. NCBI's taxonomy places the organism in Eukaryota, Metazoa, Chordata, Aves, Passeriformes, Tyrannidae. The record is from RefSeq and is a predicted model, not a curated record.